AUUUCGGACAUCAGGAAACCAGGCAUGUCAAAGGAGGAAGCAAACUUCUCAACAUCAGCCUUGAGAGCCUCAAUGUCCUUGUUGUUCACCAGACCCUUGUUGAAGUCCUUCAACAGCUUUCCAUGUUCUUUCUGGAUGCUCAAAGUGAUGGUUACAGCACGGUGGAGGAAUUCUGCAAUUUGCUCAAAGUCCCCCUCAACCAAACCUCUUGAAGUCAUGGCCGGGGUCCCGAU
RNAcentral lists this unclassified non-coding RNA (233 nucleotides) under Hevea brasiliensis (rubber tree). Lineage: Eukaryota; Viridiplantae; Streptophyta; Magnoliopsida; Malpighiales; Euphorbiaceae. The record is from RNAcentral.